This 1331-nucleotide ribosomal RNA is filed under the name uncultured Parcubacteria group bacterium. RNAcentral describes it as "bacterial SSU rRNA". It matches the Rfam family "Bacterial small subunit ribosomal RNA", at positions 28 to 1391 of the family's 1533-position model. The record is from RNAcentral.
AAUUCGCCCUUGGGCGGUGUGUACAAGGCAUGCAAGUCGAAUGUCUAGUUUACUAGGCAUGGCAAACGGGAGCGUAACACAUUGAUAACCUACCCCGAAGACGUGAAUAACCUUGCGAAAGCGAGAAUAAUACACGAUGGUAUUAACGAGCAUAAGCUUGUUAAUUAGAGCUUCGACGCUUCGGGAGGGGUCUAUGGCCUAUCAGCUUGUUGGUGAGGUAAAAGCUCACCAAGGCUACGACGGGCAUGGGGCGCGAGAGCGUGACCCCACUCACUGGGACUGAGACACUGCCCACACUCCUACGGGAGGCUGCAGUCGAGAAUAUUCCACAAUGGGGGAAACCCUGAUGGAGCGACACCGCGUGGGGGAUGAAGGCCUACGGGUCGUAAACCCCUUUUACAUGGGACGAAGCGCAAGCUGACGGUACCAUGCGAAUAAGAGGUUGCUAACUCUGUGCCAGCAGCAGCGGUAAUACAGAGACCUCAAGCGUUAUCCGGAUUCACUGGGCGUAAAGCGUCCGCAGGUGGUCCAUAAAGUCAUUUGUCAAAUCCCGGUGCUCAACAUCGGAACUGCGAGUGAAACUUAUGGACUUGAGGAUGGAAGAGGUAAGAGGAACUGCUGGUGUAGUAGUAAAAUGCGUUAAUAUCAGCAGGAACACCAAAGGCGAAGGCAUCUUACUGGGACAUUCCUGACACUCAUGGACGAAAGCGUGGGGAGCAAAACGGAUUAGAUACCCGUGUAGUCUACGCCCUAAACGAUGAGCGCUGGAUUUGGGAAGUAUCGACCCUUUCCGAGUCGUUUUAUAAGCUAACGCGUUAAGCGCUCCGCCUGGGGAGUACGGCCGCAAGGCUAAAACUCAAAGGAAUAGACGGGGACCCGCACAAGCGGUGGAACAUGUGGUUCAACUCGACAACAAACGAGAAACCUUACCAGGGCUUGACAUGCAGCUGCUAGCGCACGGAAACGUGUGAUCUUCGAGAGUGCUGCACAGGUGCUGCAUGGCUGUCGUCAGCUCGUGCUGUGAAGUGUACCCUUCAGUGGGGUAACGAGCGCAACCUCCAUCAUUUGUUUAAUGACCAAAUGAAACCGCGGUCCUAAAGACCGAGGAAGGCGGAGAUGACGUCAAGUCAGCAUGGCCCUUACGCCCUGGGCCACACACAUGUUACAAUGGCAAUUACAAAGGGAAGCGAAGUCGCGAGAUGGAGCAAAUCCCACCAAAGAUUGCCUCAGUUCGGAUUGAAGGCUGCAACUCGCCUUCAUGAAGCCGGAAUCGCUAGUAACCGUGUAUCAGCUAUGGCACGGUGAAUACGUUCUCGGGCCUUGUACACUCC